RNAcentral lists this ribosomal RNA (465 nucleotides) under uncultured bacterium. RNAcentral's name for it is "partial 16S ribosomal RNA". It matches the Rfam family "Bacterial small subunit ribosomal RNA", at positions 28 to 507 of the family's 1533-position model. The record is from RNAcentral.
GACGAACGCUGGCGGCGUGCUUAACACAUGCCAGUCGUACGGUAAGGCCCUUUCGGGGGUACACGAGUGGCGAACGGGUGAGUAACACGUGAGUAACCUGCCCACAACUUUGGGAUAACGCUAGGAAACUGGUGCUAAUACUGGAUAUGUGCUCCUGCUGCAUGGUGGGGGUUGGAAAGCUCCGGCGGUUGUGGAUGGACUCGCGGCCUAUCAGCUUGUUGGUGGGGUAGUGGCCUACCAAGGCGGCGACGGGUAGCCGGCCUGAGAGGGUGACCCGCCACAUUGGGACUGAGAUACGGCCCAGACUCCUACGGGAGGCAGCAGUGGGGAAUAUUGCACAAUGGGCGCAAGCCUGAUGCAGCAACGCCGCGUGCGGGAUGACGGCCUUCGGGUUGUAAACCGCGUUCAGCAGGGACGAAGCUUUUUGUGACGGUACCUGCAGAAGAAGCACCGGCUAACUACGUG